Molecule: long non-coding RNA, 828 nt
Organism: Alexandromys fortis (reed vole)
Lineage: Eukaryota; Metazoa; Chordata; Mammalia; Rodentia; Cricetidae
Exons: 3
Source: RefSeq, a predicted model, not a curated record
UAUUCACAGGAAGAGGAGGGAGGGGACUAGAAAACAAUACUGCAGUACCGGACCUGGGAUUUCAGGUAGUCUGUGGAAGCACACAGGUGAACAGAGGCCAGGAGGCCUUUGUUUGGGGAUAUGAGCAGAGACUUGAGGAGGGACAUCUGUGGGAAUAGCUGCGGAGACAGAGGCCUUUCUCUAAGAGACACAAGCUUUCCUGGGAAGAAGGGGAGCUAAGAGAUCUGAGGGUAUGGCAUUUUAACAAAAAGAGCCUCUAACACAGACAUGCCAGCUUCUGCAGCACCCUUUAGCUCCUCCAAGAAGACGGAAGACCUUCCACCUCCAGGCCUCGCCUUUGGGUUUGGUAGACUGGCAAGCACUGCUUCUAGGACUAUUCUUCUCCAAGGACCAAGUGGUUAGCAAAAUUCAUCGAAUUGCGCGUAAGAAGUACAUGGAAAUUUCGUCUUAAAAUAGGACUCCCAACCCCAUGCCCAGAUACUCUGCCUUAAUUUGUCUGAGGAAGGGUGGAGAGUCAGCCUUUGCCUGGAGACCUUGACUUCACCCCACGGAGGCUGUUCUCAUAUACUCAGCAUUGUGGGAGAAGUAAGAUCAGCUGACCACCAAAACAAGCUUGGCACUGGAUAAAACAACCCAACCUUCACAACAAGAAACUUCACAGAGCACGAACUUGGUCCCAGAGCCGAUGGGAACGAGUGAGGUAAUUGGUGCCGAGUGUAGAUUCAUGUUCCCAUGAAACCAAACAAUGACCAUUGAUGUUCCUUUUCUCUCUCAAAGAAACUUGCUUUGAGUAUGUUCUAUCCUCAAUAAACUAAAUAGUCUUUUGGA